UACAGAGGGUGCAAGCGUUAAUCGGAAUUACUGGGCGUAAAGCGUGCGUAGACGGUUACAUAAGUCGGGUGUGAAAGCCCCGGGCUCAACCUGGGAAUUGCAUUCGAGACUGCGUAGCUAGGGUGCGGAAGAGGGAAGCGGAAUUUCCGGUGUAGCGGUGAAAUGCGUAGAUAUCGGAAAGAACAUCGGUGGCGAAGGCGGCCGCCUGGGUCCAGACUGACACUGAGGUGCGAAAGCGUGGGGAGCAAACAGG
Molecule: ribosomal RNA, 253 nt
Filed under: uncultured bacterium
Lineage: Bacteria
Description: partial 16S ribosomal RNA
Rfam family: Bacterial small subunit ribosomal RNA
Source: RNAcentral